This 2576-nucleotide long non-coding RNA is filed under the name Bemisia tabaci. RNAcentral describes it as "lncRNA ENSSSA1NGG012146". Lineage: Eukaryota; Metazoa; Arthropoda; Insecta; Hemiptera; Aleyrodidae. The record is from RNAcentral.
UCCGUAGACGCAAGAGACAUGGGAGCACAACUUGGAAAUUGCCUCAUCUUCAUCAGCGCCCCUCCCCCGCCCCCCUGAAAACCCCUCCCCCCACAGGGGAACUUUGCCGCCGAGUUCAACUGACCGUCACCUAUUCGGGUGUGCACGUGCAAAGCUUUUCAUCCCGCGUCGCUUUGUUUACGUUUUCACGUUUUUAUUUAUCACACCGAAUCGGCUUGGAUCAAAAAACGAAGAUAAAAACAGUGCAAUAAAUCAGUUUUUUUAUGGUGACUCGGUUGGUGCUUCUGAAUCGGAUGACUUCAGGUUCGAUUCGUGUGAAUAAUUCCGACUGAAUUUAGCUCCUUUGUUGUCGAUGUUUCUUUUUUCAUCCGUUGCGUCUUCCUCUGCUGGGGUACAAGAAAAAAAAUUAUAUCGCGCCCGUAUUUCAUUGUCAGAAAUGUUCUCUCGUUUUUCUUCUUGAAAAUGGUUCCUGAUCGGGUUUUAGCGGUGGAAAAGUGACAGUUUUUACACCGGUUGCCUGAAUUUCGAGGAGUAAAAUGCAUAAGGCUUUGCUUUCGCGAUCUCUGCUGACGGCGUUAGCGACGCUGUCAACACUACCCUUCUCGGCGAGCACCCUCUACCGAAAGACCCGAGAGGAUCAGUACUACUACCGUCGUUACGGGAACAGCUACCCUUCGGCCCACGGUGGGGCCGGCGAGGACGCCCAACCCCGGCAAAUCCCCAGCCCCAAGUACAUUCCGGGCUCCAAAUACCCCACCGAGGGGCAAUGGGUCAAACUAGACCCCAUCGACUACCACUACCCGAAGCCGAGCUACGACUCCAACUCCGGCUUCCGGCCCAACGACUCGCCCUACCCGGACUCGAGGCCCAAGUUCUUCCACUCGGACCACCGCUACUCCCCCAGCGGGCACAGCGGCUACCCCUCCGGCCCCUCUUCCUACCCCUACCCCUCCGGCCCUUCCUCCGCCUACCACCCGCCCUCCGGCUCGUCGUAUCAUCACAGACCCUCUGUCUCCGGCUCAGGUUACCCGUACAACUCGGGGUCCUGGAACUCCCACCAUGGGAUCUCCUCCUACGGUUGGGACAAGCGGCCCACCGACUCGCUCUGUGGGGUUUGCCCUGGAAGCUCGGGGAGCACAGGCAGCCUGGGGGGUGUGGGAGUUUCCCCCCAAAGGGGCGAGUACCGCGGCAACGGCUACGACAACCUGAGCCCCGAGUGGGCGAUCCGCCAGAUGAAGCACCACGGUGGGGGCAGUUACUCGCAUUCGGCCCGACCUCAGUGGGACAGUUGGAACAAGUACCCGCCUCCGGCGGACUACAACCGAGGAACCGACGACCGCGGCAAUGCUGGGAGUAGCUGGAGCUCGGGAUCUGGCUACGGGGGGACGAGCGGUGCGGGGGUGUCAUCGUGGGGAGACAAGCGCCCCGAUCAGGAUCGGCGCCCCUAUUCGCCGCGCCCUUACGACGACCGAAAGGGCAUCUACCCAGUGAAGUCGACCCCAGGGACGGGCUACUGGGACAGUCACCCGCCGCGGGAGAUCGGCUGGGAUCCGGAGGACGGCCGUGUGGGCGUGGUGUCCGGCUGGAUCGGAGGACAGAAAGGGGGCAGCAAGGGAGGUUACAAGGGGGGCUACGACGACUACGAUCGGAAGGACGGUGACGUGGGCCGCGUGACGUCGGGUUACGUCUACGUGCCGAACGCGAUCGAGGCGAAGCCGUGGGACGCCACAACGAAGGGCUAUUCCAAGCCCGCGAACUGGGGCGCAGGCUACGAUCGAGACUACGCCUCCAAGUGGGACUACAACGCCCCUAUGUCGCAUGACAGGAAACCUCAGGGCUAUGAUCACAUGCCAGACAGGUUCGACCGAAGGCCGGAUGGCUGGGACACUAGGCCAGGUGGGUAUGACACCAGACCGGGAGGCUAUGACACCAGGCCUGGUGGGUAUGACACUAGACCUGGUGGGUAUGACACUAGACCUGGUGGGUAUGACACUAGACCAGGUGGGUACGACUCCCGGCCUGGUGGGUAUGACAGUAGGCCUGGCGGAUAUGAUACCGGAACUGGAGGAUAUGACAGUAGACCAGGGGGGUACGACAGUAGACCGGGAGGGUACGAUACCAGGCCAAGUGGCUAUGAUACCAGGCCUGGAGGAUAUGACUCCAAACCAGGUGGAUAUGAUGCAAGGCCUGGAUUCGACAGGAGACCAGACGGGUAUGACAGAGGGUCGGAGGGCUGCAGAACAGGUUGCGGACGGCCGGGUGACACACUCCACGGACAUGACUGGCGAGAGAGCGGAACCAGUCAGGAUGGAUACCCUUCCAAGAGGCCAGACCAUUCCUUCCCGCCUUCAGGCCCUGGCAACUAUGACAGUUCAACCCGAUUCCAAAAUGACAGACUGCCAGCUCCUACGCCCACCCGAUUCAAUGGACACAGCGGUAUCGGAGCAUCGACAGAAUAUGGAUACGUCUACAGAGGCUCUUACCAGCAGGAUAGAGACCAAGUUGUUUCCACCACUAUUUCGUCGCUUCCUGUCUCAACUACCAUUGUCCCAUCUACAACCCUCCCACCGGAGUAA